Molecule: long non-coding RNA, 757 nt
Filed under: Nicotiana tabacum (common tobacco)
Lineage: Eukaryota; Viridiplantae; Streptophyta; Magnoliopsida; Solanales; Solanaceae
Description: long non-coding RNA (NTAB_LNC010547)
Source: RNAcentral
AAAAGAAUUUCCUCUUGCCACUCCAUUAAGCAUUCAGAGAAGGAAAAGCUUCAGCCGUCGCACAGCCUUUAUCCUCAAGCAUCGUUAAAUCCAACUAGGAGUCAAAUUCCUUACCAAUUUUAGUUUGGACACAAGGAUUAAGUCAUACUGCCUUUAUACAACAAAUCCCACAUCGGACCAUGACUUAUUAACGCCUCAUCUCCAAAUCUAUAUAAACCCCCUGUACUCGCAUUUGUUGAGUAUUAAUUUGUAGUUUCCGCAAGCCACUUGAGUCUAGUUUUGUGGGCUCGGAAGUAUCAACGCGAAGGUAAUUUCUUCUUCUUUUCUUGUGCUUUUCUUCCUUUGUUAUUUUUUUUGUAGGUCAAGUGAGAAAGAUAUGCUCUUGUUCAACAGAUGAUCCACGCAUGAAGAAAGUGGUCUUAGGGUGUGAGGGGAUGGAUACUCAUCACUGCCCAAAUAUCGGAGAGAUCACUCUCAAUGUGCCCUGACUAUCGGAGAGAUUAUUUUCAAUGUGCCCCGACUAUCGGAGAGAUUAUUCUCAAUGUGCCCUGACUAUCGGAGAGAUUAUUCUCAAUGUGCCCCGACUAUCGGAGAGAUUAUUCUCAAUGUGCCCCGACUAUCAAAGAGAUUAUUCUCAAUGUGCCCCGACUAUCGGAGAAAUCUCUCAAUGUGCCCCGACUAUCGGAGAAAUCUCUCAAUGUGCCCCGACUAUCGGAGAGAUUACUCUCAAUGUGCCCCGACUAUCAGAGAGAUUACU